Molecule: long non-coding RNA, 450 nt
Organism: Melopsittacus undulatus (budgerigar)
Lineage: Eukaryota; Metazoa; Chordata; Aves; Psittaciformes; Psittaculidae
Source: Ensembl
GGGAGCCGCUGCAGCGGGGAGGGAGCGGAAGGGGGCGCGGGUGGGCCCUGGCGGCUCUCCCGUAGGCCUCGGUAGGUCGGCGGUGAGGGAGGGCGGCUCUUUCCGGCCUCUUCCCCCCUUGCAUCCCUUCUUCUUCUUCUGGCAGGGCCUGGCCGGGGUGGUUGUGUGCCGGCCUGUGGCUGUGCUCCGUCUCUCCGGGCGGAGGGAUGGGGUGUACAGGGCUCCGCCGUCCCCCGCUGGUGAGGUGCUGCUCCUCUUGAGCCCUGUUGUGCUGUGCUUGGAAGGAGCCGUUGCAGAUGGGGUGCCAUCAGGAGAGUCAUAUUUGAGUAACAUCAGUAAAAAAAAAUUCUGGAUGCAUUCAAAGGUAACUUUUUGUCAUCUUCACAACCAGAAGUUGCGCUAAUUUUACUAGUUUCAUACUGAAAGUUUCAUAUUGAAUGUUGGUUGUAG